UUGUGCUAAAAGUGAGGAUCAAACAAUUCCCUUCUUAUGUAGGAGAUGGUCUUUACUUACCCUGGCAUGCCUAGUGAUACUUUUAAAUUAAUAUUUAAAUUAGUAAAUGUUGCAAAUUUUACACCCCUCCGCAAUUCUCUGCAAGAUCCUCUUGGGAUGGAAAGGAGAGGGUCCUGAGGUUACUGACAGCACCUCACCUGCACUGAGGAACAAACCAAGCUUUAAAGAUGGCCUUGUGCUUUUGUUAGUUACCUGCCUGGCUGCUCCAGCUCCCUCAGCCUCUCUGUUUGGCCUGACUUUGGUUUUCAGGUACAGACCUGUGUGAAUAAGGUCACAAAAUGCUUGGCUCCAUUUCACUGGAUAAAGGAAGGAUUGGAAACUGCGUUGGUCAGUGAAGACUUUAAUACCUGUUCCAGUCUGGGAAGGCUCAUUCCGCUCAGGUUUGGAUACUGGAAAUGCAACUCAACCAAAUGUGUGCAGCGAGUCCCAAAUGCACCCUCUGAAGUCCCACUGAACCACUCAGUGAGAAGAGAGAACAAGAGACACCUGCACAGAAUGAUUCAUUCUGUGCCUGUUCAACACUGCUCUGGAUGGAACAAAUCUCCUUGCUGGGUGUUGUCUCUCUCCAUCAAUUCUCAACAGAAGUUAGACAACCAGUUCUGAGCAGAAGCCCAAUUUACGGGUGCCACGUGAGAUGAAUUCUACCGUAGAUGACUAAUUUUUCUCAUUCAUCAUACCUGCUUUUGGCCUGUAGAAGUUGGGCUUGUAACAAAGUUAGUCACUUUAGUUCUGUCUUUGUACAACGGCGAUUCCCUCCCCUCGCAAUCUGGAGACUGAUAGCUGAGGUGAAUUGACCUUGGAUGAUGUUUAUCUUUGUCUGAGCCCUGCAAACUCCUCAUGAACACGUGUGCUCCUCCUUUGCACUUGCUGGGCUGUCUGAAAAUGGAAUGUGGAACUAUUAAAUGACAUUGUGCAAACUUA
Molecule: long non-coding RNA, 981 nt
Organism: Lagopus leucura (white-tailed ptarmigan)
Lineage: Eukaryota; Metazoa; Chordata; Aves; Galliformes; Phasianidae
Exons: 3
Source: RefSeq, a predicted model, not a curated record